Molecule: small RNA, 782 nt
Filed under: Pongo abelii (Sumatran orangutan)
Lineage: Eukaryota; Metazoa; Chordata; Mammalia; Primates; Hominidae
Description: retained intron
Source: RNAcentral
GUAAUAUUUGCCAUGAUCUUUCUGAGAAAGCCAAAAUUGUGGCACGUUCCUGCCUCUCUUAAGUUUUUACGUUCUUAGCUUUAUCUUGCAUGUUACCAGUUUUGUUGGCAGUAUUUUUGUUAAUGUUACUGACUUGAAAAUAUAUUUUAUCCAUUGUAACCAAAGCUCUUGUGAACUUUGAUUUUCAGAUAAGUUUUUUCAGUCAGCCAUGAGCAUAUGCUCAUCUCUCAGAGAUCUAGAACUUGCCUACCAAGUACAUGGCCUUUUAAAUACCGGAGACAACUGGAAAUUCAUUGGACCUGAUCAUCAUCGUAAUUUCUAUUAUUCCAAGUUCUUCGAUUUGAUUUGUCUAAUGGAACAAAUUGAUGUUACCUUGAAGUGGUAUGAGGACCUGAUACCUUCAGUAAGAUGGUUCAUUACUUGUUAUUUAUCAUUCUAGAUGAAUUGGGUUUCUGCAGAUUAAUGCUUUAAAAAUGUGUUUCUCUUAAUCAGGUCUACUUUCCCCACUCCCAAACAUUGAUACAUCUUCUCCAAGCAUUGGAUGUGGCCAAUCGGCUAGAAAUGAUUCCUAAAAUUUGGAAAGUAAAGAAUAUGGUCAUACUUUCCGCAGCGACCUGAGAGAAGAGAUCCUGAAGCUCAUGGCAAGGGACAAGCACCCACCAGAGCUUCAGGUGGCAUUUGCUGACUGUGCUGCUGAUAUCAAAUCUGCGUAUGAAAGCCAACACAUCAGACAGACUGCUCAGGAUUGGCCAGCCACCUCUCUCAACUGUAUAGCUAUCCUC